GCUGGCGUAGCUCAACUGGUAGAGCAUCUCAUUUGUAAUGAGACGGUUGGGGGUUCGAGUCCCUUCGCCAGCU
This 73-nucleotide transfer RNA is filed under the name Candidatus Eiseniibacteriota bacterium. RNAcentral describes it as "Candidatus Eisenbacteria bacterium tRNA-Thr". It matches the Rfam family "tRNA". From Rfam's summary of the family: Transfer RNA (tRNA) molecules are approximately 80 nucleotides in length. Their secondary structure includes four short double-helical elements and three loops (D, anti-codon, and T loops). Further hydrogen bonds mediate the characteristic L-shaped molecular structure. tRNAs have two regions of fundamental functional importance: the anti-codon, which is responsible for specific mRNA codon recognition, and the 3' end, to which the tRNAs corresponding amino acid is attached (by aminoacyl-tRNA synthetases). tRNAs cope with the degeneracy of the genetic code in two manners: having more than one tRNA (with a specific anti-codon) for a particular amino acid; and 'wobble' base-pairing, i.e. permitting non-standard base-pairing at the 3rd anti-codon position. Lineage: Bacteria; Candidatus Eiseniibacteriota. RNAcentral also lists the same sequence under 1 other name. The record is from RNAcentral.